This 497-nucleotide ribosomal RNA is filed under the name uncultured bacterium. RNAcentral's name for it is "partial 16S ribosomal RNA". It matches the Rfam family "Bacterial small subunit ribosomal RNA", at positions 28 to 507 of the family's 1533-position model. The record is from RNAcentral.
GAUGAACGCUGGCGGCGUGCCUAAUACAUGCAAGUCGAGCGAACAGAUGAGGAGCUUGCUCCUCUGACGUUAGCGGCGGACGGGUGAGUAACACGUGGAUAACCUACCUAUAAGACUGGGAUAACUUCGGGAAACCGGAGCUAAUACCGGAUAAUAUAUUGAACCGCAUGGUUCAAUAGUGAAAGACGGUUUUGCUGUCACUUAUAGAUGGAUCCGCGCCGCAUUAGCUAGUUGGUAAGGUAACGGCUUACCAAGGCGACGAUGCGUAGCCGACCUGAGAGGGUGAUCGGCCACACUGGAACUGAGACACGGUCCAGACUCCUACGGGAGGCAGCAGUAGGGAAUCUUCCGCAAUGGGCGAAAGCCUGACGGAGCAACGCCGGGUGAGUGAUGAAGGUCUUCGGAUCGUAAAACUCUGUUAUUAGGGAAGAACAAAUGUGUAAGUAACUAUGCACGUCUUGACGGUACCUAAUCAGAAAGCCACGGCUAACUACGUG